UAAUGGUGGCUUAGCAGAGGCUCAGG
RNAcentral lists this non-coding RNA (26 nucleotides) under Mus musculus (house mouse). Lineage: Eukaryota; Metazoa; Chordata; Mammalia; Rodentia; Muridae. The record is from RNAcentral.